CCUACGGGAGGCAGCAGUGAGGAAUAUUGGUCAAUGGACGAGAGUCUGAACCAGCCAAGUAGCGUGAAGGAUGACUGCCCUAUGGGUUGUAAACUUCUUUUAUAAAGGAAUAAAACGAGGCACGUGUGCCUUUUUGCAUGUACUUUAUGAAUAAGGAUCGGCUAACUCCGUGCCAGCAGCCGCGGUAAUACGGAGGAUCCGAGCGUUAUCCGGAUUUAUUGGGUUUAAAGGGAGCGUAGAUGGGUUGUUAAGUCAGUUGUGAAAUUUUGCGGCUCAACCGUAAAAUUGCAAUUGAUACUGGCCGUCUUGAGUACAGUUGAGGUAGGCGGAAUUCGUGGUGUAGCGGUGAAAUGCUUAGAUAUCACGAAGAACUCCGAUUGCGAAGGCAGCUUACUAAACUGCCACUGACAUUGAUGCUCGAAAGUGUGGGUAUCAAACAGGAUUAGAUACCCGUGUAGUC
This 460-nucleotide ribosomal RNA is filed under the name uncultured bacterium. RNAcentral's name for it is "partial 16S ribosomal RNA". It matches the Rfam family "Bacterial small subunit ribosomal RNA", at positions 338 to 795 of the family's 1533-position model. The record is from RNAcentral.